GACGAACGCUGGCGGCGUGCUUAACACAUGCAAGUCGAACGGAAAGGCCCUGCUUUUGUGGGGUGCUCGAGUGGCGAACGGGUGAGUAACACGUGAGUAACCUGCCCUUGACUUUGGGAUAACUUCAGGAAACUGGGGCUAAUACCGGAUAGGAGCUCCUGCUGCAUGGUGGGGGUUGGAAAGUUUCGGCGGUUGGGGAUGGACUCGCGGCUUAUGAGCUUGUUGGUGGGGUAGUGGCUUACCAAGGCUUUGACGGGUAGCCGGCCUGAGAGGGUGACCGGCCACAUUGGGACUGGGAUACGGCCCAGAGUCCUACGGGAGGCAGCAGUGGGGAAUAUUGCACGAUGGGCGGAAGCCUGAUGCAGCAACGCCGCGUGCGGGAUGACGGCCUUCGGGUUGUAAACCGCUUUCGCCUGUGACGAAGCGUGAGUGACGGUAAUGGGUAAAGAAGCACCGGCUAACUACGUG
Molecule: ribosomal RNA, 468 nt
Filed under: uncultured bacterium
Lineage: Bacteria
Description: partial 16S ribosomal RNA
Rfam family: Bacterial small subunit ribosomal RNA
Source: RNAcentral